Transfer RNA from Aureobasidium pullulans, 115 nucleotides. It matches the Rfam family "tRNA". From Rfam's summary of the family: Transfer RNA (tRNA) molecules are approximately 80 nucleotides in length. Their secondary structure includes four short double-helical elements and three loops (D, anti-codon, and T loops). Further hydrogen bonds mediate the characteristic L-shaped molecular structure. tRNAs have two regions of fundamental functional importance: the anti-codon, which is responsible for specific mRNA codon recognition, and the 3' end, to which the tRNAs corresponding amino acid is attached (by aminoacyl-tRNA synthetases). tRNAs cope with the degeneracy of the genetic code in two manners: having more than one tRNA (with a specific anti-codon) for a particular amino acid; and 'wobble' base-pairing, i.e. permitting non-standard base-pairing at the 3rd anti-codon position. Lineage: Eukaryota; Fungi; Ascomycota; Dothideomycetes; Dothideales; Saccotheciaceae. The record is from Rfam.
GGUUCUAUAGCUUAGUAGUAGAGCACCUAUCUAGUAUAGACUAGUAUGGUGUUACCUAUUUAGUAGUACUAUAGUGGUCGGUAGGAGAUCCUAGGUUCAAUUCCUAGUAGAACUA